GGCCUUAUAUUCAUUUAAUGAUUACAGAAUGCAAUUUUGUAGGUACAAUGUAGUUGUUAAGGCUU
Molecule: transfer RNA, 65 nt
Filed under: Tryonicus parvus
Lineage: Eukaryota; Metazoa; Arthropoda; Insecta; Blattodea; Tryonicidae
Description: tRNA-Cys
Source: RNAcentral